RNAcentral lists this ribosomal RNA (459 nucleotides) under uncultured bacterium. RNAcentral's name for it is "partial 16S ribosomal RNA". It matches the Rfam family "Bacterial small subunit ribosomal RNA", at positions 338 to 795 of the family's 1533-position model. The record is from RNAcentral.
CCUACGGGAGGCAGCAGUGAGGAAUAUUGGUCAAUGGUCGGGAGACUGAACCAGCCAAGCCGCGUGAGGGAGGAAGGUACAGAGUAUCGUAAACCUCUUUUGUCAGGGAACAAAGGCGGGGACGUGUCCCCGGAUGAGUGUACCUGAAGAAAAAGCAUCGGCUAACUCCGUGCCAGCAGCCGCGGUAAUACGGAGGAUGCGAGCGUUAUCCGGAUUUAUUGGGUUUAAAGGGUGCGCAGGCGGUCUGUUAAGUCAGCGGUCAAAGCCCGGGGCUCAACCCCGGCCCGCCGUUGAAACUGGCAGUCUCGAGUUGGAGAGAAGUAUGCGGAAUGCGCGGUGUAGCGGUGAAAUGCUUAGAUAUCACGCAGAACCCCGAUUGCGAAGGCAGCCUGCCAAGCCAUGACUGACGCUGAUGCACGAAAGCGUGGGGAUCAAACAGGAUUAGAUACCCUAGUAGUC